RNAcentral lists this ribosomal RNA (460 nucleotides) under uncultured bacterium. RNAcentral describes it as "partial 16S ribosomal RNA". It matches the Rfam family "Bacterial small subunit ribosomal RNA", at positions 338 to 795 of the family's 1533-position model. The record is from RNAcentral.
CCUACGGGCGGCUGCAGUGAGGAAUAUUGGUCAAUGGACGAGAGUCUGAACCAGCCAAGUAGCGUGAAGGAUGACUGCCCUAUGGGUUGUAAACUUCUUUUAUAAAGGAAUAAAACGAGGCACGUGUGCCUUUUUGCAUGUACUUUAUGAAUAAGGAUCGGCUAACUCCGUGCCAGCAGCCGCGGUAAUACGGAGGAUCCGAGCGUUAUCCGGAUGUAUUGGGUUUAAAGGGAGCGUAGAUGGGUUGUUAAGUCAGUUGUGAAAGUUUGCGGCUCAACCGUAAAAUUGCAAUUGAUACUGGCAGUCUUGAGUACAGUUGAGGUAAGCGGAAUUCGUGGUGUAGCGGUGAAAUGCUUAGAUAUCACGAAGAACCCCGAUUGCGAAGGCAGCUUACUAAACUGUGACUGACAUUGAUGCUCGAAAGUGUGGGUAUCAAACAGGAUUAGAUACCCUAGUAGUC